Molecule: ribosomal RNA, 253 nt
Filed under: uncultured bacterium
Lineage: Bacteria
Description: partial 16S ribosomal RNA
Rfam family: Bacterial small subunit ribosomal RNA
Source: RNAcentral
UACGGAGGGUGCAAGCGUUAUCCGGAUUCACUGGGUUUAAAGGGUGCGUAGGUGGGUUGGUAAGUCAGUGGUGAAAUCCCCGAGCUUAACUUGGGAACUGCCAUUGAUACUAUCAGUCUUGAAUACCGUGGAGGUUAGCGGAAUAUGUCAUGUAGCGGUGAAAUGCUUAGAUAUGACAUAGAACACCAAUUGCGAAGGCAGCUUACUAAGCUGUAACUGACGCUGAGGCACGAAAGCGUGGGGAUCAAACAGG